This 534-nucleotide ribosomal RNA is filed under the name Triticum aestivum (bread wheat). RNAcentral describes it as "partial small subunit ribosomal RNA". The record is from RNAcentral. Lineage: Eukaryota; Viridiplantae; Streptophyta; Magnoliopsida; Poales; Poaceae.
AUGCCGCCUCCCGCCCGUGCGCCCCUUGCUGUGAUGGUGAAGGACAAGAUGGCGGCACUGGAGCGCACAAAGAAGGGAGCGGCAAAGGGGAAGGGCAAGAAGACCACCAAGAGCGGGCCGUCAUCGAGAUCUGGCUUGCCACGCGGUUGGGUUCAGGGCGAUUGGAUCCGAUCCAGAAUCGCGCUGGAUGACUUGCAAGACCUGGCCGAGAGGGGGCUGAUUGAGCAUGAUUCCUGGAGGCUCCCAGGGGAUGAAACUAAGCCACAGCCUCAGGAGGGUGAGUGUGUCUUACUCGCCACUCACGUCGACCACGGUUUUUCUUUGCCCCCACAUCCCUUUUUCCGUGCAUUCCUGAACUUCUUCGGAGCCCAACUCCACCAUUUCUCUCCCAACACUAUCACGUACCUUGCGGCCUAUGUCUCCUUGUGCGAGAAUUUCCUGGGCUGCCGACCGUACUGGGGUUUGUUUAAACACAUCUUCACAUGCCGCUCACAGACUGUGAAAAAGGCUAGCCCGAGUGACGAGAAAACAUAG